AGAUUUAGCAUUUAGCAGCAUGUCGAAAUAGGGCAUGACUAGUAUAAAGAGAUUGGAAAUUUGUUCAAAAUUGUUUAUAACUAGCAUGAAAAUGCGUUACGUCCUAACGGUUUGUGUGGGAUAAGAGGCUGGCUAGAGAAAUUCCUGAGCAAAUCUCCAAAAAGGAUUUAAAUUAAUCCAAAGCAAGUUAGCAGCUGAUGACUGGCAUGCAAAAUGCCAGACAGAUUUAUGAGAACGGACAGAUUUGGAGCAAGAGGCUGGCAAACCGAAUGAGGGGCUUUUGGGGGAAACACUGAGUUGGCAAACGAUGUUACGCAUUAGACAAACAACAAGCAGUCGGACGAGUCCAAAUAUAAAAUCCGAGAGCUCGAGUUUCAAACUGAAGACGAAAUUAAGCCGUAUGCUGAUUUCAUUUUAAUUACGAAGCUGCCUCACAGCGAUGGCAAUCAGGCAUGGCAAAGCUGGAUCAGCUUAGAGCGACAAGUGCGUAAUGCACAUGAUGCAUUCAAACAAACUAGUACGAGUGUGAGCCAGAGUCGAGUCCGAGUAUAAUUGCAGAGCAGCCAGAUUGAGCUAAAGAUGCCAACCCAAAUACGAAAGUCGACUCUUGAAUUAGCCAGACUGUGGCCGCUGAGAACUGUGGCCUCGUGUUCACUUAGCGAUCGUCACCUCCACUUUUGCGUUCGCCAUUCGUCAAACUUUGUUAAUGUGUCGGGACCAAGUGCAACAGUCAUAACUCAUUUGCCACUAAACUGGCUGCCCAAAACGUAUUUAUUGUUUGGGCCAUGAACGUGAGCCCCGUUCAGGAAAGAAAAAAAACCAUACAGCCACAGCAAAUAACAAAAAUGUUGCAAAUUGGAAUUAUGUAUGGCCAGUCCUAUGAAUAGGGCAGCAAAACCAAGUCAGACGCCUCUUGCACGUCACGCAUUUUACUGAGUAGCCCGUGGGCCAGCUCCAUUUUACCCCUGAACCCGACGACUGCGUCGGCUGCCCGCAGCGCAACAAUGAAUAUGGACAAACUUGCAAGCGCAGGCGAAAGUUUUUUUUCUUCAUUUAAUUUUUUUGUUUGUGGAAUAGGAGGACUUGGACUUUCAUUCAGUGCCAGAGCCAGCGACACGUUGGCGACAUUGACAAAUGCAUUUGGGAUCAACGACGCGUUGACGUGCGCACGCAUACAAAACUCCUAAAAUAAUAUAUUGUAAUAUAUACUUGCAGCGUAUAGGAUGCCCUUGUCCUGGAAAAUGUUCGCUGGGAUUAUGUUGUGGACUUUACAAUUAGUUCAUAGACAUUUGCUUGAUUUUCAUAAAUGCAAUGUAUGCAGAGUUUAAUUCGAUUUUUACUGUAGUUUUAUUCUCAAAUUUUUAUGUGAUGAUUUUUGUUGUGAUCAAGAUUUUGUAGUGUAGAUUUCAACUUUUAAAAAAUGUUAUUGGUACUAGCUACCAACCCCUGCAACCAACUCCUGCAAUAGAAGAAUUAGAGAUAUGUAGAAAUAUUUCAGAAAUAUCAUAGGACUCGAGGAGCUGCGCAUGAGAUGAAAGCUACGGCGGUUCAUUGCAUGCGAUCCUAAUGUUUUAUUAGACUGGUGCAAGUUUUAGUUUAUUGUAUUAGACUGUCGAAACGAUGCGACAUCCAAAGGAUGGUACCCAAUCGUACCUACCUCCGCACCCCACUCUCCUCCAAACGCUGGCAAUUAUGGCGCGCGUGACACUCGCCGCUUUAGCCGCUUAUCUUUUAUUUAACGUGUUCGCUCUGUAUAAAUAUGGAGUAGCCGGAGCUGGAGCCGGAGCCUCAGAAGCUGGGCUACUCCAGCCGGCUAGCCAGCCAACCAGCCAGCCAACCAGCCAGCCAUCCAGUCAACCAGCCGGCAAUAGCUUCAUUUGUGUCGCCGCCGUUGCCUUUGCAACUCCUGCACUUCAUUAAUUAUGCGAGCUGCUCUCAGGCUCGCCGGCUUACGUCUAGCGGAUGGGGAGCAGAAUGGAUGGGCACGGCCAAGCAAUGUUCCAGUCAUCGUCAUCGUCAGCGUCAUCGUCAUCGUUUGCGGCAUGAUAAAGUUGUAAUUUGUUGGCAGUUAAAGGUGUUGCUUAUAGUGCAACUAAUCGACGUAAUAAACUAAACUAUGCGUAGCUAAACGAGGUCUCUACAAUUUGUCGCAAAUGAUGAUGAUGAUAAUGAUGCUAAUGAUGAUGGUUACAAAUGAUGAAAUAUCAAUCAACAGAAACUCUAUAAAAGUAAGUAAAGGAAGAAUUAGGAUAAAGAUCAAUGUAAAACUGAAAUCGUGUAAAGAGAUAUUAUUGAAAAAUGUUUAUGCACUUUAAUUAUUUAAUUUUAAGUUAAAAUUUUGAAAUGUUUAGGUACUCCACAUUGCUAAACUUUUAUAUUAUCCAUUUAUUUUUGUAACAUGAAAUGUUAUCAUGUAGAUAUGUGAAAUUCUUAACAUUAACACUCACAUAAGAAGUGUUGGAAAGCAAUACGUUUACUUAGAAUAUGUAACAUGCUUAGCAUAAAAUGACUAUUGAGUGUUGAAAUUUCUGGAAAAUAUAAAGGGAAAGGUUCAAGUAAUUAAUAUAUCAAAUUGAUGUUAAAGUGCUUUAUAUAUUAGAUAGCUCUUGGCAAGUAAUAUAUGUAUAUGAAGUAAUAAAACAGAGUAACUCGGAGAGAAUAUAUUAAACUCAGAAAGACUUAUACGUGCCUUUUGUUAACGUCGAAAUGAUACAAUAUCUGACAACAAGAAAGUUCUCAGACGCGGUUCCUUGCCACAGUUCGCUGCACGGAAGGGCGUAUGCAAAUAGAAUUGGUGUCAACAACGGCAACAACAAUAACACAAACAGACACUUAAGUGAAAACCCAAAGAGGGCAAUGCAACAGCCAGAACCAAAAGGUAAAUAGCUGCAGCAAGUGGAUGCCCAUUUGGCAUUGGCCUCCACACUGGCCGCGGCCUCGUGGAUGGAUGCCGAUAUGCUGCCAGCCAUAUAAUGCAGCUCAUCAGCAACAGACGGAGGCAAAUGCAACAUGUGCUUCAUUGCACACACACACACACACACACACACACAUCACACACAUCACACACACACGCAGAGAGAGAAAGAAAGAGAACGACCUGGCCAUAAACAAAUAUGAGUAGCUGUGCAGCCUGUGCUGCCUUCUUCUGCCGCAGUUGCAAGAAGUGUGGGAAAAUUUUCGGAAUUUCUUUUGCCCCUCGCGAAAGACAGGUUUUCGUUUUGGCCCAAACUGUGUGGACCAUUGCUGCAGCUGGAGCUGGAGCUAGAGCUGGGGCGUGGCGGGGCAAGUCUUUCGCUAGUUCGGGCUAGGCAUGCCAACUAGCGAAAUUCUUUUUGAUAAUUUAAUUUAAGAAAUAUUGUAUGUAGCCUUGCUAGAUGUCCGCACGCCAGACGCCGACGACCCCUUGACCAGCGGGGCACGCGAAUGCAGCGCAACGAAUUCCCGCCUGGUUUGUCUAGUGUUCAGUUUGGUUCUCGUUAUGCUCUAGCUCAGUGUGCCGAAUUUAAGCCAAUAAUCAUUCUCUCUGUUCGCCUAGCAACAGCAGAGAACUUUCUCUGCUUUCUUAGCAUAUAUCCUGAUUCUGUAUUUGACAAUAUUUUAACUACAAUAUUUUCCGAUUACCAAAUUACUUGCCAAACAC
Molecule: long non-coding RNA, 3640 nt
Organism: Drosophila virilis
Lineage: Eukaryota; Metazoa; Arthropoda; Insecta; Diptera; Drosophilidae
Source: RefSeq, a predicted model, not a curated record